RNAcentral lists this ribosomal RNA (620 nucleotides) under uncultured fungus. RNAcentral's name for it is "eukaryotic LSU rRNA". The stretch from base 249 to 402 matches the Rfam family "5.8S ribosomal RNA". The record is from RNAcentral. Lineage: Eukaryota; Fungi.
CUUGGUCAUUUAGAGGAAGUAAAAGUCGUAACAAGGUUUCCGUAGGUGAACCUGCGGAAGGAUCAUUAAAGAGUAAGGGUGCUCAGCGCCCGACCUCCAACCCUUUGUUGUUAAAACUACCUUGUUGCUUUGGCGGGACCGCUCGGUCUCGAGCCGCUGGGGAUUCGUCCCAGGCGAGCGCCCGCCAGAGUUAAACCAAACUCUUGUUAUUAAACCGGUCGUCUGAGUUAAAAUUUUGAAUAAAUCAAAACUUUCAACAACGGAUCUCUUGGUUCUCGCAUCGAUGAAGAACGCAGCGAAAUGCGAUAAGUAAUGUGAAUUGCAGAAUUCAGUGAAUCAUCGAAUCUUUGAACGCACAUUGCGCCCCUUGGUAUUCCGAGGGGCAUGCCUGUUCGAGCGUCAUUACACCACUCAAGCUAUGCUUGGUAUUGGGUGCCGUCCUUAGUUGGGCGCGCCUUAAAGACCUCGGCGAGGCCACUCCGGCUUUAGGCGUAGUAGAAUUUAUUCGAACGUCUGUCAAAGGAGAGGAACUCUGCCGAUUGAAACCUUUUAUUUUUCUAGGUUGACCUCGGAUCAGGUAGGGAUACCCGCUGAACUUAAGCAUAUCAAUAAGCGGAGGA